Paramisgurnus dabryanus is the source of this 593-nucleotide long non-coding RNA. RefSeq lists it as uncharacterized. The record is from RefSeq and is a predicted model, not a curated record. Lineage: Eukaryota; Metazoa; Chordata; Actinopteri; Cypriniformes; Cobitidae.
UUUCCUAAUCCACUGGGAAUUUCUGAAUGACUGGAAAUGAUUCACAGGGAACAUCAUCAAGUAUAUAAAAGACUUGCUGUACAAAGGUGUUUGUGAACUUGUUUUUAGCUCAAAACUACAUAAGCUUUUACAUUAUAUUACAUGAUGAAUGCUCCAUCCAUCAGAAUGAUGAAGAUCUCACUGUUGGCUCUUGUUCUUGCCUUCAUGUUGGCACAGGGAUUUGCUCUCAAAUGCAACCACUGCGUUCCCCAGUCUGGAACACCGCAACCCAAGAGACUUGUGAUUUUGGAAAAGAUGCAUGCAUAUCUACAAGAAUGACAAUCCCUCCUUACAUGGGCUUUCGGAGAUGUGGCAGUAUGAGAGAGUGUCUUCUUUAUCAGGGCAAUACCGCCAUGAUGGCCAAAUGCUGCAAGACGGACCUCUGCAAUCCUGUUAUCUUUUAAAUCCAAUUCUGUUAAUGUAAAACAAAGAGAUGACAAUGAGUAAAAACUUUAUAGAUUUAUAUAAAUAUGUGUAAAAAAAAUUUGUUUUGUACUUGUUUACUAUACAGCAAAUUUUGUCAAAUAAUAAAUAGCCUUAUCCAUGAAGAAGAA